RNAcentral lists this ribosomal RNA (270 nucleotides) under uncultured prokaryote. RNAcentral's name for it is "partial 16S ribosomal RNA". It matches the Rfam family "Bacterial small subunit ribosomal RNA", at positions 524 to 792 of the family's 1533-position model. The record is from RNAcentral.
UACGGAGGGCUCAAGCGUUAUUCGGAUUUACUGGGCGUAAAGGGCGCGUAGGCGGGGGUCGUAGGUCGGCCGUGAAAUCCACCGGCUCAACCGGUGAACUGCGGUCGAAACUGCGACUCUUGAGCUUGGUAGAGGAAGACGGAAUUCCUGGUGUAGCGGUGGAAUGCGUAGAUAUCAGGAAGAACACCAGUAGCGAAGGCGGUCUUCUGGGCCACAGCUGACGCUGAGGCGCGAAAGCCGGGGGAGCGAACAGGAUUAGAUACCCCAGUA